RNAcentral lists this ribosomal RNA (397 nucleotides) under uncultured bacterium. Its description in RNAcentral is "bacterial SSU rRNA". It matches the Rfam family "Bacterial small subunit ribosomal RNA", at positions 64 to 507 of the family's 1533-position model. The record is from RNAcentral.
GAGCGCCGUAGCAAUACGGAGCGGCAGACGGGAGAGUAACACGUGGGAACAUGCCCUUCGGUACGGAACAACUCAGGGAAACUUGAGCUAAUACCGUAUGCGCCGGUAACGGGAAAGAUUUAUCGCCGAAGGAUUGGCCCGCGUCCGAUUAGCUAGUUGGUGAGGUAACGGCUCACCAAGGCACCGAUCGGUAGCUGGUUUGAGAGAACGACCAGCCACACUGGGACUGAGACACGGCCCAGACUCCUACGGGAGGCAGCAGUAGGGAAUCUUGGACAAUGGGGGAAACCCUGAUCCAGCCAUGCCGCGUGAGUGAUGAAGGCCUUCGGGUUGUAAAACUCUUUCGGCGGGGACGAUAACGACGGUACCCGCAGAAGAAGCUCCGGCUAACUUCGUG